This 485-nucleotide long non-coding RNA is filed under the name Homo sapiens (human). Its description in RNAcentral is "non-protein coding lnc-CTNNA2-3:7". The record is from RNAcentral. Lineage: Eukaryota; Metazoa; Chordata; Mammalia; Primates; Hominidae.
UUACAGCUCUGACCCAGGAAGUCCCAGGGUCUUGCCUUCCAGAAGGGUCGCGGCUCUUCCCUCCCUCAGUCCAACGAACAGGAGCACGUCACCUCCCGCAGCUCGGGGAGCUGGCCAGGAACGUGUUACAGCCCGUUUCGCUCCUGUCCGCAGCUGGGUGAGGCAGCCAGGAAAAUAUUACAGCUCUUCUCACGCCCGCCAUUCAGCAGGUCCUGACUUCUUGUGUGACAUCCAGAAGAAAGGGGUUACACAGACAGCUGGAGGGUGAGCAAAGUGGAGAAGUUCUCAGCAGAGAGGAGACUGGAGUGAGUUGCCCCUACCCGCAGGUGCCAACUGUAAUACAUCAGUAGCUGAACAGCUCAUUGCCCUCAAGUGUUCUUGCUCAUGCCUGGCUGAGUUAUUGAAGAAAUUGCUCAGAUCUCAAGCCCUUGUAGAUCACUGGUCCUGGCAGAUGUUCUAUCAGGCCACGAUCAAGCAGAAGGCAG